GCGAGCCAACCUCCCACCCGUGUUUACUGUACCUUAGUUGCUUCGGCGGGCCCGCCAUUCAUGGCCGCCGGGGGCUCUCAGCCCCGGGCCCGCGCCCGCCGGAGACACCACGAACUCUGUCUGAUCUAGUGAAGUCUGAGUUGAUUGUAUCGCAAUCAGUUAAAACUUUCAACAAUGGAUCUCUUGGUUCCGGCAUCGAUGAAGAACGCAGCGAAAUGCGAUAACUAGUGUGAAUUGCAGAAUUCCGUGAAUCAUCGAGUCUUUGAACGCACAUUGCGCCCCCUGGUAUUCCGGGGGGCAUGCCUGUCCGAGCGUCAUUGCUGCCCAUCAAGCACGGCUUGUGUGUUGGGUCGUCGUCCCCUCUCCGGGGGGGACGGGCCCCAAAGGCAGCGGCGGCACCGCGUCCGAUCCUCGAGCGUAUGGGGCUUUGUCACCCGCUCUGUAGGCCCGGCCGGCGCUUGCCGAACGCAAAUCAAUCUUUUUCCAGGUUGACCUCGGAUCAGGUAGGGAUACCCGCUGAACUUAAGCAUAUCAAUAAGCGGAG
RNAcentral lists this ribosomal RNA (544 nucleotides) under Aspergillus oryzae. RNAcentral describes it as "eukaryotic LSU rRNA". The stretch from base 164 to 317 matches the Rfam family "5.8S ribosomal RNA". The record is from RNAcentral. Lineage: Eukaryota; Fungi; Ascomycota; Eurotiomycetes; Eurotiales; Aspergillaceae.